RNAcentral lists this ribosomal RNA (484 nucleotides) under uncultured bacterium. RNAcentral describes it as "partial 16S ribosomal RNA". It matches the Rfam family "Bacterial small subunit ribosomal RNA", at positions 30 to 507 of the family's 1533-position model. The record is from RNAcentral.
AUUGAACGCUGGCGGCAGGCCCAACACAUGCAAGUCGAGCGGAUGAAGGGAGCUUGCUCCUGGAUUCAGCGGCGGACGGGUGAGUAAUGCCUAGGAAUCUGCCUGGUAGGGGGGGAUAACGUCCGGAAACGGGCGCUAAUACCGCAUACGUCCUGAGGGAGAAAGUGGGGGAUCUUCGGACCUCACGCUAUCAGAUGAGCCUAGGUCGGAUUAGCUAGCUGGUGGGGUAAAGGCCUACCAAGGCGACGAUCCGUAACUGGUCUGAGAGGAUGAUCAGUCACACUGGAACUGAGACACGGUCCAGACUCCUACGGGAGGCAGCAGUGGGGAAUAUUGGACAAUGGGCGAAAGCCUGAUCCAGCCAUGCCGCGUGUGUGAAGAAGGUCUUCUGAUUGUAAAGCCCUUUAAGUUGGGAGGAAGGGCAGUAAGUUGAUACCUUGCUGUUUUGACGUUACCAACAGAAUAAGCACCGGCUAACUUCGUG